RNAcentral lists this long non-coding RNA (1008 nucleotides) under Zonotrichia albicollis (white-throated sparrow). Its description in RNAcentral is "lncRNA (ENSZALG00000001763.1)". Lineage: Eukaryota; Metazoa; Chordata; Aves; Passeriformes; Passerellidae. The record is from RNAcentral.
CAGGGUCUGGGAGAGCUUUUGGGGGUGUAUUGGGGUCUGGGACAGCCUCUUGGGGUGUAUUGGGGUCUGUUUGAAUCUCUUGGGACCAUAUUGGGGUCUGGGAGAGCUUUUGGGGGUGCAUUGGGGUCUGGGGGAGCCUUUUGGGGUGUAUUGGGGUCUGGGGGAGACCCUUGGGACCGUAUUGGGGUCUGGGGGAGCCUUUUUGGGGUGUAUUGGGGUCUGGGAGAGCUUUUUGGGGUGUAUUUGGGUCUGGGGGAGCCUUUUGGGGUGUAUUGGGGUCUGGGAGAGCGUUUUGGGGUGUAUUGGGGUCUGGGGGAGCUUUUUGGGGUGUAUUGGGGUCUGGGAGAGCUUUUUGGGGUGUAUUGGGGUCUGGGAGAGCUUUUUGGGGUGUGUUGGGGUCUGGGACAGCCUUUAGGGGUGUAUUGGGGUCUGGGAGAGCUUUUUGGGGUGUAUUUGGGUCUGGGGGAGCCUUUGGGGGUGCAUUGGGGUCUGGGAGAGCCUUUUGGGGGCAUUUCAGGGUCUGGGAGAGCCUCUUGGGAAUGUUUUGGUGUGUGGAUGAAUCCUUUGGGACCAUAUUGGGGUCUGGGAGAGCUUUUGGAGGUGUAUUGGGGUCUGGGGGAGCCUUUUGGGGGCAUUUCAGGGUCUGGGAGAGCUUUUUUGGGGUGUAUUGGGGUCUGGUUGAAUCUCUUGGGACCAUAUUGGGGUUUGGGGGAGCCUCUUGGGGUGUAUUGGGGUCUGGGGGAGGUUCCUGUGAACAUUUUGAGGUCUUUGGGGAGUCCCUUUGGAAAGUUUUGGGAUCAGGGGGAGCCUCCUGGGAAUGUUUUGGGGUCUGGAUGAAUCCUUUGGGACCAUUUUGGGGUCUUUGGGGAGUCCCUUGAGAACAUUUUGGGGUCUGGGAGAGCCUUUUGGGGACAUUUUGGGGUCUUGGGGAGCCCCUUGGCAAAGUAAUAGGGUCUGGGGGAGUCCCUUGGGACCAUUUUGGGGUCCGGGAGAGCCUCUUGGGAAUGU